Long non-coding RNA from Selaginella moellendorffii, 375 nucleotides. RefSeq lists it as uncharacterized. NCBI's taxonomy places the organism in Eukaryota, Viridiplantae, Streptophyta, Lycopodiopsida, Selaginellales, Selaginellaceae. The record is from RefSeq and is a predicted model, not a curated record. The transcript has 4 exons.
GCCAGCGCGCCGGGAUCGGGAAGCCAAUCUAGGCGCCGAAGAAGCAAGAAGAGGCGCCGCCGCAUUCCUUCUUACCAGGUGAGCGGCGGGAGGGUUUAUGUAGUAUCGAUGAAGUUCUAGCAACGAGAUACUUUGAUUGAUGUCUCGGACAGGCUGAUUUUUUUCGGGUCUUCCUGGUUGCUGGGAAUGAGGACUUACGCAAGAAGCACAAACACCUGGACUUUUCCUCCUGUGUGAUCAUGAUGUUGGGAUGAAAAGAAACACCACAAAGAGAAACAAACCUUGCUGGCAAAGACGUGCUUUGGAUUGACACUCGACAAUUCUUCCUACUGCAGACUUUUGACAAAGAAAUCGGCUCACAACAUUCCACCUCUC